UUCAGCAAGGUACAACUCUUGGCUCAGUUUUGCAGGAUGAAGUCAGGAGUGACACAAUGUCAAGAUGAUGAAAAACACCAAAUUGGCUGAGGUUUAUUGGAGCAUCCUUACAUCAACCACAUCUUCAAGAAAUGCAACUGAGAUUUGUUCUUGUGGAAAUGGCAAACCACACAGGACACCCUGGAGGAGUGGAGGAUCACCCCAGCCUGACAUCCAGCCACUUCAGAGAGGCAGAGAGAAACUCUCUAGAGGAAACCGUCCUUGUGUGCCAACCAGCAUCCAGCAGGACCCACCUUCCUCAUGUUCCCUUGUGCUGGAAAGGCCCAGCCUAUCCAAAAAGCCACUGCACAGCCCACGUGUCCAAGACCAGAGAUCAGUCUGUCGUGUCUCCCGUAUGAUGACAUUGCUGAGAGCUUCGGGGCAGGCACUGGCGGCUGAGGAGAAACAUCUCUGGAGAUGGAUCACUAGCAUCAGGAGACAGUGAACCUUCCACUCCCACAUGGAAAUUGAAAGGCACCGAGAGAUCCCAGGUUUGUGUCUUGUGGACGUUUCACGUCUGUGCCUUGGGAGCUCUGGGUGUCAUCAGAUAGAUGUAAGGGUCUUGAGAGGUAUCCUGUGGAGGAAGAAAUGCUCUGAUGUUGCCAUGGACCAGAAAAGGGAUCUGAGGGUUCAAGUUUCUUUGGCGAGCAUUCCCAAGUCAGGUGGGUAUGUUGAAUCUGCUGCUACUUCUUUGUGGGUGGAUGGCCACCUGAACUUCCAUGAUGUCGUGCCAGACGUAGG
Non-coding RNA from Sus scrofa (pig), 780 nucleotides. The record is from RefSeq and is a predicted model, not a curated record. NCBI's taxonomy places the organism in Eukaryota, Metazoa, Chordata, Mammalia, Artiodactyla, Suidae.